GAGGGUGUAGCUCAAGUGGUAGAGCAUAUGCUUAAUAUGCACAAGGUCCUGGGUUCAAUCCCCAGUACCUCCA
Molecule: transfer RNA, 73 nt
Filed under: Camelus dromedarius (Arabian camel)
Lineage: Eukaryota; Metazoa; Chordata; Mammalia; Artiodactyla; Camelidae
Also listed under: 1 other name
Rfam family: tRNA
About the family: Transfer RNA (tRNA) molecules are approximately 80 nucleotides in length. Their secondary structure includes four short double-helical elements and three loops (D, anti-codon, and T loops).
Source: Rfam by way of RNAcentral